GACCGUGCAAAGGUAGCAUAAUCAUUUGCCUUAUAAUUGAAGGCUUGUAUGAAUGGUUUGACAAGAAUAGAUCUGUCUCUUUACAAUUAAAUAAAAUUUUAUUUAUAGGUGAAGAAGCCUAUAUUGAAUUGAAAGACAAGAAGACCCUAUCGAGCUUAAAAGUAGUUAAUAAGUCUCAAAUCAUAUUUAUAUUGAAUUAAUUACUAAAAAUUUUAGUUGGGGCGACUAAGGAACAAAUAAAGCUUCCUUAAAAUUUUAAUGCUUACAAGCAAUGAUCCAGAUAUUUUGAUUAAAGGAAUUAGUUACCGUAGGGAUAACAGCAUUAUCUUUUUUAAGAGCUCAAAUCGAAAAAAAGGCUUGUGACCUCGAUGUUGGACCAGAAUGUCCUAAAGAUGCAGCCGUCUUUAAGGGUUGGUCUGUUCGACCAUUAAAAUUCUACGUGAUCUGAGUUCAGACCGGCGUGAGCCAGGUCAGUUUCUAUCUUCAAUUUUUAAUAUGGACUUAGUACGAAAGGAUUAGUCUAUAAUAAAAGGUUAUUAAAUCUGAUGAAGUAUAAGGUAAAAUUUAAUAGUCUAAUUCGAAUCAAAUUAGCAAAGAUAAUGCAAUUGACUUAGGAUCAAUAGACAUAGGUGAAAAUCCUUUAUUUGAUACUUAUAAAGAUGGCAGAUAAA
RNAcentral lists this ribosomal RNA (671 nucleotides) under Maculotriton serriale. RNAcentral's name for it is "partial 16S ribosomal RNA". The stretch from base 1 to 509 matches the Rfam family "Bacterial large subunit ribosomal RNA", at positions 1944 to 2925 of the family's 2925-position model. The record is from RNAcentral. Lineage: Eukaryota; Metazoa; Mollusca; Gastropoda; Neogastropoda; Muricidae.